CCCGUCCCACCGCGCUCUGCGAGUCUUCUAGUCUUUUCUGCUGCCGUCGUCCCUUGUUCUGCUUCAUGUGGGAGCUCUUUCUGCUUACGGGAGCAUUUUUUCCGUCUUUUCGAUCUUCUACCGCUGGAGGUAUCGAUCGUUUGUUCCACUUUUCUGUGCUAUAGCUGAUCGUUGAUUGACAACGAGAGAGAGCACGCUUGUCAGCAUUCAUGUGAAGUUACACGACUGUUUACAUGCGUGCUCCUUCCCGUUGUCAUCCUACUGAAUCGCUUAAAGCAUUUCUAGUGGUUGCAAAGAUUGCGUCUGCCUGUCCAUUCUCAACCUCAACUGUUUACGUGUGCAGGAAACACAGUAACAAGGAGCUAAGAUAAAGUAUUCAGAUGCCAGCACGUGGACCCCUAAGCUGCCUCUCCCUUUUGUAGUUUACUGCGGUACCUUCACAAGGUAUGGCAUAUCCAUGUUUUAUUUCAGAUAAGGAACAUGCUAACCUAACGUUAUGACGUGUUGAUGUUGGCUAUAUUUUUAGAAAUUGCAGAUAUCUGAUAUGAGUUUUUGCCGAACUUAAUUUUCUUUAAAAUAUUUGAAAUGGCUCUACGACUGAUGUGGGCAACAGCUUGAGUCUUGUCUUGAUUAAUUUCAAUUGCUAUAUUAUAAUUAAGAGAAAAUCUAAUGACAAAUUUCACAUUUUACUAGUAUUAGCAGCCAAAGACACAACGGUAGGCCAAGAUAACUCGUCUAUUAUUAUCUAACUUCUAACAUGAGUACUGCCUGGAGAACACAUUGGAUUUUAUUCCUCACAUAAUUUUCCACAUCUGUCCGAUUGGAGUUGGUAUAUAGCCUUAAACUUGCUGUGUUCUGGAUGUGAUAUUUGAGGCAGUUGCAAAGAUCUAGCGAUUUUCAUUUCUUCUGUUUUUUUUCUUUUUUUGCCUUUCAGGGAUAUAAAUAUACAUGGUGGGACGGAUGACAAUUGACUUUUGUUUAUGUCAGUUCAUUUCUUGUUUCUUUCUUUUCCUCAACCUUCUCUUCUUUUGUUCUUCCUUGACUUCCUCCAUCACCUACAAGUUGACCACUUUGUCUGUUUCCACAAAUGCCACGUUCAGCACUUUUUCCAAAUUGCUCUCUCUCUCUCUCUCUCUGUGUGUGUGUGUGUGUAUCUACGUUCAUAUAACUACAGAAAUAUGAAAAUCACAAAACAUGAAAUUGACAAGCUUUUUCAGCCAUCUAACUAAGCAGAUUUGGAGUUAGACGUGCUGGAUCUGGUUUCAGGGUUUCAAUUGUUAGAGCUCCGCCUGGUUUCUAAUGCAUAUCAGAUGCGAACUGCCACAUAAAUUCAUGAAAAACUGCCAGCUAUUAUCCACCUUUUAGAAUAGCUACUUUUUAGCAGUGAUAACGUGGUUUACCAAUACCAUUUUGGCAUUUCCAGGUUCAAAGAUGGGUGUAUAGAGAGAGUGAGAGGUGUGUCAGCAUUUUAGCAGUCCAAUCAAUUUGAUAGGGUGGCUCCUAGUGGCGGUUAUGAGUUUUCGUCUUUCGUAGUUCCUAUGAUCUACUUCCGUUUCAUCGUUAUCCUUUCUGUGUGCGUGCGAUGACAGUUUGGUCGUAUUGAGCAGAUGAGCACAGGGUUAGGUUGCUAGCUGUAAAGCUAGUCCUCUCUUGUUAUGCAAGGAUUUCUCCUUGUUGCAAAGGAUGCUUCUCCUGUAGAAGUUGCUUGGUAAAAAGCUUUUAUUUUUUGCCGCUUAAGAGCCUUGUGCGUUUUUUUUUCCCCUCUUUUAUCUGUGUUAGUGCCUUAAUGGGUAGCUUGUUCUCUUGAUUCAUCUGUUUAUGAUUGCUUUUUGGGUAUAAUACUGAUUGUAUUUAAAGCUUCUUUGAGCUUUAUCCUGCAUUUAUAGUGCUCUAGUACUCAUGCACACCCAUCUAGUAGUAGAAAUGGGAAUGUAAAGGCGUUAGAACAUCGUAGAUUAUAACUCAUGGGACCAACAGCUUUUAGUUUGCGGUUUAAGGGAUGAUGAGAUCAACCCAAGAUUGAAUGCAUAAUAUAUAGAUUCAGCUUUUGGGCUCGACUUUAUGUUCGCAGUAGAUAUGACUUUAGAACAUACUUGUGUCAAAUGUUAAGCCACAUAAAUGCUUCUCCUUAUUUUCCUAUCUACUACAUCCUCCGUUGAUUAUGCUUGCUUGAUUUCUGCUGCCAGUGGCUUCGAACUGUUGGAUUGUAUAUGUCGUUUGGUGGUUUUCUUUACUGGAAUAGAAGUCAUGUCUCGCCGAGGUGUUAGGAGGGCUUCAUUGGGUCUGCUACAAGGGUUACGUGAGAACCAGUAGAGGGCAAGGUCGUGAUGCUUCCUGCUUUUGACCUUUUGGAGUACUUAUCUGAGAGAGACUAUAGUGGCUUUCUUGUUGGUGCAUUUAAUCCUCAUCCAAUUGCGGCGGUGAUGAAGUUGGAAUGUCAUCGAGUUGAAGUAACGGAAGAACCAGUGGGGCUUGUACGGAUAAAUGAGUAUAAAAGGAUUUCAAGCGACAAAUAUUCUUGAUGACGAGAAGUAUCCCGUAGGGUGGUCUGAAGGUCCAUGAAGAUAGUUAUUCCAGAUAGAGGCAAGUAGAAUGCAUAUUAGGAUAUGAAAAAAACCCAGAGAAGGCAAUAUGGGAGUCAGAUAUGAGGAAGCAUUGUUAUGGCUUCCUUCAAUCUGGGGAACAAAGCAACAUCCAUGUAUCCUACAAUCUGCAAACUAUGUAUGUAAGACAAUGUCAUAGACCUACUUUACGAGAGUAAAAUCCAGCCAAAUACUGUGAGACAGUGGUAGAAGUGCUAAGUGUAGACAAAACGGAUUUUCACUUCUGACCCGUUCAAACUUGAGGACUUCUUGGUAAGAGUCACCUCUGAAUUGGGCGAGAUAUUUAUUAUGGGCUUAAAAAAGUGAAAGAAAAGGUUAAGAGUUGCUCAUAAAGCUUAAUCUUUUUGUCAGACAAAUAUUGCUUCAUAAUAUACCUUAUUGCUAAGGAAUGAAGAAGACAAAAAACAGGAGCAAGGCACUUAUUCUAACUUUAAGAGGUCAAUCUGGUCUGAGGACCCAGUGUUAGACAACCUCCCUGAUGAGCAUAUUGGACAAAGGGAAGCAGUCAAAAGAGGUUUAGUCGAUGUUUAUUACUAAGUCAGCAUUCGAUUGCACACCCUGAUUUGAAGGGAAACCUUUACAAAGGGUGGAAGAGAAGAAAUUUCAUCUCAUCCUAGAAUGUGGCAUGUUUGAUGAAUUAGCAGAAGUUCUAGUAGAGAAAUUUUUAGGUGUUUGAUAACUAAGUGAGGGAAGGAGAGGAAAACAAUUGUAAAUAAGCAACUGUUAUAAUUUUUUAUUUAUUUUUUAACUUGUUUUCAAUAAUCACACGAUUUUCUUUAUUUAAUUUUAUUUUAAAUAAAAAAUUGAAAAAUAAGUUGGCAAGCCAUACUUUUAUUUUAAAUAUAUUUGAAAUCAAAAAAUAAAUUGGUGCGGGCCAUUUUUUUAUUUUAAAUAUACUUAAAAUUAUUUUAAAUUACUUUCAUUUCAAAGGAAUCUUCAUUUCAAUGCAUAUUAUCUACUUCACAUUCUCACAUAAAAAGGGAACACUGCAGCAUUUAAUCAAAUAACGUGUUUAUGAUAAACCCCCUCAUGAUAAAAGUUGAACACGAUAUAUCGGAUCUGAGUGUCCAAUUUGUGCAAUUGAGAAACGAAAAACACAUGCUAUACCAUCACACUACAAGACAGUAUCCACCAUCUAUAUCAGUCUGCCACUUAGGUGGCCCAGAACAAUUUAGGUUGGUACCCAAAGAGUAGAAGCUGUCCUAAUCCCUUACUUGCAUUAGUCUAAUCUUUCCAAAGAAAAUAAAUUUAUUGCCCACAGUACCAACAAGUGAGUGGUGUCAUCAUUCACAAAUUGGUCAUCCACAAAGUAGGUUUUUCCCCUUUCUUUCUUAUCUAGUCGUUUUUUCAACUUGUUGUAUCAACCAAAAUUUGAUCACCAAAAGAGGAUUAGGUUGUACAUGAACCUUGUAAAAGAAAACAGGAGAAAAAGUUUAUAAGCAACAACGCCCUUUCUCAUGCAUUUCAGCAAAGACAUGGUGGACAUUCCUGUGAACUCACCAUGGGAUGCAAAGAGAGAGGGGUUUUACCUCAGCAAAUUCAUGAGCACCCAGUGAUCCAAGUCUGAUUCAUGGGUUCUCCAACUAUUUCUAUAACCUGUAUUCAUCACAGAAAAUGAUGCCUGCAGAAUAGGAAUGACAACAAAAUUGCAGAAAGUAAGUACAGCUAUAUUAUUGAAAGCAUCUGCCUUUUGAAGAAGUGUAGGUUUGGAAUGUGCCAUGCUAUGCAAACUUAAUGAUUCAAUUUGCCAGUUAUCACUUUACUACAUGAGCAUUUAGUGAAAAACUUUAAAUUGUUGCUGGAAUUGGACCGUGUGACCAUGAUAAAGGAACCAUAUGCCAUCCAUGACCAUGAAACAGUACCAAGGUGGGGAACUUUUCCAUAAGAAAUUUUUUUUCUGUAUCAUAGGACUUCAAUAUCAUUAACACAUUUGAAAGUUGUACAGCAUGGUAAAGGAGGCUAUUCAACCAGCAUGGUUGCAUCUGAAAAGCGCUGAUCGACUACUUUCAACUUUCCACAUGAACUUAUGGCUGCCGCAUCUUUUUGACAAUUUUCACCAUCAAGAGAGGUGGCUUUUUAUUAUUUAUGUGCAUCAAUAUGAAAACUAUUGGAGUGCCAAUGUCAACAUCUUAUUAUUCUACUACAAAAAUAAGAAAGUAUUAUCAGCAGGUCAACCAAGGAAGAGCUAAUUUUGCUAGUUAAGCUGAAAUUACACAUGUUCUCUCAAUGAGCCCUCUAGUUGGAAUUCCAUUGAAAGUAUCAGUUGCGGUUACUUUGAAAAUGAGUUCAUCAGGUUUGAUAUUCUUCUGAAUGAGUAAAACAUACCAAAGCUUCUAAUGGCUUGAAGCAGUUAAUGAAAAAGUAUAUGCUUUCCACAACUGCAAUAACAUUGUUGAUUUGCUUGUUCGAGAAAGUUUACAUUAGUAGAAUGGGAACACGGUGAAAUUUCUACUCUUGGAGUGAAUUAACAUCUUAAUAUCUAAUUGGUCUUCAAGUUCUAGACCAGCAGCUAUACUUGCUUACAUGGGUCUCCCUCACUACUGAAGUGAGGACAGUAAAACAUUUCACUAUUUUUUCUUCUUUUGUUAGUCUUCCAACCAAGUGACAAAGUAAGGGGAAGGCGUAAUAGACUUCCUGGAUGUUACAGCCCAACCUUCUUAGGUUAGAAAGAUCAUAGGAGAAGGACUUCCUUUAGGGGCCCCAGGUAAUAUUGAUGGUAAAACCUUAAGAGGUAUAAAGGCCAUGUACUCACAGAUUGGUAUGCUUAUGGUUGUUGAUUGGUUUACAGAUUAGGUGAGCAAGAUGUUAGAGAUGCUUUUUCACAUUCUGAUCUCAAGAUGUAUAUGUUGAACAACUUUCUAAAACAAGAGCUAGAUGAUCCUGAUAGAAAGGUAUGUAAUUUUAAACUUAUGUUUCAGAAAACAGUCUACUGCCUGGUUUCAGUUGAGAUCAGCAAAUUUUGUGUUAGUAAUAGCCAAAUUGAUUGAUUUCUAAUGACAAUGUAGGCAGUGACAUUAACAUGUUGUUAUUUACAUUGAUGAUAUUGGAACAACUGUCAUACAUGACUGACAUAAAUUAAUUGCACACAUAUUUUUAAGAAAAGUCUGUAAAUGAAGGAUUUAGAGAUGGAUGAUAUAGGUGUAGGAACUCACACGAGGAUCUGAUAUCCCUUGUUUUGAAGGACUGUGGAUGAAGGUUUAGGGCCUGUUCCUUGAUCUGCAUGUCCUCUGAUCUCUGGGGGCCAGAAGGCAUCCAAAUGCUCUCUGGUUCUCUUUAAUACAGAACUCAGUUGGAUCCAAAACUGACAGACAUUUGACAAACUCUACUUUAACGUGCUCUAUUUUAACGUUGUAAUAGACUACGCUGCAGUUUUUUAGUAAGUAAUGGGAAAAUCGAUUUUGCUCAAGUGGAGGAUGCUGAAUCCAAUGGGGGGAGGGAGAGAGAGAGAGAGAGUUUUUUUUUUCCUUAAUUUUUCCAUGCAAACAAACAUAAAAAAAUAAUGAACGAAACAUUUCAUGCUUUUGCAAAUAAGGGAAAAUGAAAAAUGGAACUCCUCUAUGAAAAUACACUGCAAGAAAAGCUUCUUAGGAAAUGUUUCCAUGGAAAACUUUUUUGCUUGCAGUCAAAGGGCGUUAAUAAAAAUAUGCUAUUGACUUCUGCUUAAGGAGAAGAAGAUGAGCUAUUUGUAAAUUGUUUAUCUACUUAGGUGCCAGUAGACAACAAAAUGAAGUUUUGCAAACAUAGAUCUGAAGGCAUGUACAAAUAUAACAUGAUCUUUGUCGGAGAUAUGUUUAGUAUAUCACGUUCUGGUUUUCUGUUGAUGCAAGAUUUUCUCAAAGAUCACAAGUUUUUCUGAUAUCAGUUGAUAUAAUUUUUUUUAAAGAUUUUUUUGUGUGAUAUAAGCUUUUAUCGUAUAGUAUGUUGCAUUACUUGACCUGAUAUUUCAUAUCUAUGAGCCUCAGCCUACUCUGGAGUAUAUAAAUAAGUUCUAUUUUGAAAAAGGGAAGCAUGAAACAUGAAGUAUUACUUGACUGGCUGGAGGGAUAUUGUCCUGACAUUGGGAAGUAGAUAUCUGGUAUUAUCUUUUUUCAGAUGAUUUUCAUGUUCUAGGACAAUUAGAAACGACAUAGUAGCUUGAUUUGGCAUCUAUAUAUAGCUCCAGUUUCAUCGAACUUGCUUGGUUUGGACACUAAUCAGACUUAUUCAUCGCCUUGAGUAAAAAAUUUGGCACAUAUAUCACAUCUUGUGACACUGGCAUAAGAAUUCUGCUGUUCCUGUUUGUCAUGAAAAGACACAAUGAUUGAUUUGAGACUUUCUAAUAGAGAAGGUGGACUAUGUUGAAGCUCAUUUUGUUGGAACAAUGAAUUGAGUUGCUAGCAUUUUUGAACUACAUUAUAGAUAUAUUUUUGUAUCAUAUCUUGCAACGUUGCCAUAAUAAUUUUCCUCCUUCCUGUUUGUCUUGGAAAGGCAAAGUACAUAAUGACAGAUUUAACACUUUCUAAUAGCGAAGGUAGAAGAUAUUGAAGCUCAAUUUGUUGGGACAAAGAAUCGAAUUGCGGGAAUGAUUUGCACUAACCAGAUUGUAGAUGUAUUUUCUUUCUAUUUUUUUUUUCUUUAUUUUAGCAGAGAAAAAAUAUUUAUCUAUGGUGGUAUGAGCAUGAUAUAUAUAUAUAUAUUCU
Long non-coding RNA from Nymphaea colorata (pocket water lily), 7282 nucleotides. RefSeq lists it as uncharacterized. Lineage: Eukaryota; Viridiplantae; Streptophyta; Magnoliopsida; Nymphaeales; Nymphaeaceae. The record is from RefSeq and is a predicted model, not a curated record. The transcript is spliced from 3 exons.